GAGAAACUUUGUCUGAACAUGGGGGGACCAUCCUCCAAGGCUAAAUACUACUGACUGACCGAUAGUGAACCAGUACCGUGAGGGAAAGGCGAAAAGAACCCCGGAGAGGGGAGUGAAAUAGAACCUGAAACCGUAUGCGUACAAGCAGUGGGAGCCUACUUGUUAGGUGACUGCGUACCUUUUGUAUAAUGGGUCAGCGACUUAUAUUCAGUGGCAAGCUUAACCGUAUAGGGUAGGCGUAGCGAAAGCGAGUCUUAAUAGGGCGUUUAGUCGCUGGGUAUAGACCCGAAACCGGGCGAUCUAUCCAUGAGCAGGUUGAAGGUUAGGUAACACUGACUGGAGGACCGAACCCACUCCCGUUGAAAAGGUAGGGGAUGACUUGUGGAUCGGAGUGAAAGGCUAAUCAAGCUCGGAGAUAGCUGGUUCUCCUCGAAAGCUAUUUAGGUAGCGCCUCAUGUAUCACUCUGGGGGGUAGAGCACUGUUUCGGCUAGGGGGUCAUCCCGACUUACCAAACCGAUGCAAACUCCGAAUACCCAGAAGUGCCGAGCAUGGGAGACACACGGCGGGUGCUAACGUCCGUCGUGAAAAGGGAAACAACCCAGACCGCCAGCUAAGGUCCCAAAGUUGUGGUUAAGUGGUAAACGAUGUGGGAAGGCUUAGACAGCUAGGAGGUUGGCUUAGAAGCAGCCAUCCUUUAAAGAAAGCGUAAUAGCUCACUAGUCGAGUCGGCCUGCGCGGAAGAUGUAACGGGGCUCAAACCACACACCGAAGCUGCGGGUGUCACGUAAGUGACGCGGUAGAGGAGCGUUCUGUAAGCCUGUGAAGGUGAGUUGAGAAGCUUGCUGGAGGUAUCAGAAGUGCGAAUGCUGACAUGAGUAACGACAAUGGGUGUGAAAAACACCCACGCCGAAAGACCAAGGGUUCCUGCGCAACGUUAAUCGACGCAGGGUUAGUCGGUUCCUAAGGCGAGGCUGAAAAGCGUAGUCGAUGGGAAACAGGUUAAUAUUCCUGUACUUCUGGUUACUGCGAUGGAGGGACGGAGAAGGCUAGGCCAGCUUGGCGUUGGUUGUCCAAGUUUAAGGUGGUAGGCUGAAAUCUUAGGUAAAUCCGGGGUUUCAAGGCCGAGAGCUGAUGACGAGUCGUCUUUUAGAUGACGAAGUGGUUGAUGCCAUGCUUCCAAGAAAAGCUUCUAAGCUUCAGGUAACCAGGAACCGUACCCCAAACCGACACAGGUGGUCGGGUAGAGAAUACCAAGGCGCUUGAGAGAACUCGGGUGAAGGAACUAGGCAAAAUGGCACCGUAACUUCGGGAGAAGGUGCGCCGGCUAGGGUGAAGGAUUUACUCCGUAAGCUCUGGCUGGUCGAAGAUACCAGGCCGCUGCGACUGUUUAUUAAAAACACAGCACUCUGCAAACACGAAAGUGGACGUAUAGGGUGUGACGCCUGCCCGGUGCCGGAAGGUUAAUUGAUGGGGUUAGCGCAAGCGAAGCUCUUGAUCGAAGCCCCGGUAAACGGCGGCCGUAACUAUAACGGUCCUAAGGUAGCGAAAUUCCUUGUCGGGUAAGUUCCGACCUGCACGAAUGGCGUAACGAUGGCGGCGCUGUCUCCACCCGAGACUCAGUGAAAUUGAAAUCGCUGUGAAGAUGCAGUGUAUCCGCGGCUAGACGGAAAGACCCCGUGAACCUUUACUGUAGCUUUGCACUGGACUUUGAGCCUGCUUGUGUAGGAUAGGUGGGAGGCUUUGAAGCGUGGACGCCAGUUCGCGUGGAGCCAUCCUUGAAAUACCACCCUGGCAUGCUUGAGGUUCUAACUCUGGUCCGUAAUCCGGAUCGAGGACAGUGUAUGGUGGGCAGUUUGACUGGGGCGGUCUCCUCCUAAAGAGUAACGGAGGAGUACGAAGGUGCGCUCAGACCGGUCGGAAAUCGGUCGCAGAGUAUAAAGGCAAAAGCGCGCUUGACUGCGAGACAGACACGUCGAGCAGGUACGAAAGUAGGUCUUAGUGAUCCGGUGGUUCUGUAUGGAAGGGCCAUCGCUCAACGGAUAAAAGGUACUCCGGGGAUAACAGGCUGAUACCGCCCAAGAGUUCAUAUCGACGGCGGUGUUUGGCACCUCGAUGUCGGCUCAUCACAUCCUGGGGCUGA
This 2141-nucleotide ribosomal RNA is filed under the name Pseudomonas aeruginosa. RNAcentral's name for it is "bacterial LSU rRNA". It matches the Rfam family "Bacterial large subunit ribosomal RNA", at positions 426 to 2556 of the family's 2925-position model. The record is from RNAcentral. Lineage: Bacteria; Pseudomonadati; Pseudomonadota; Gammaproteobacteria; Pseudomonadales; Pseudomonadaceae.